This 253-nucleotide ribosomal RNA is filed under the name uncultured bacterium. Its description in RNAcentral is "partial 16S ribosomal RNA". It matches the Rfam family "Bacterial small subunit ribosomal RNA", at positions 524 to 776 of the family's 1533-position model. The record is from RNAcentral.
UACGGAGGGUGCAAGCGUUAAUCGGAAUUACUGGGCGUAAAGCGUGCGCAGGCGGUUUGUUAAGUCCGCUGUGAAAUCCCCGAGCUCAACUUGGGAAUUGCAGUGGAUACUGGCAAGCUGGAGUAUGGUAGAGGAAGGUGGAAUUCCCGGUGUAGCAGUGAAAUGCGUAGAGAUCAGGAGGAACACCAGUGGCGAAGGCGGCCUUCUGGACCAAUACUGACGCUCAUGCACGAAAGCGUGGGGAGCAAACAGG